GGGAGAUGUCAACAUUCCAGGAAUAAGAAUGCAUUGCAGGUCAGUUGGCUGGACCUCAUUGUGACCUGGGAGCCCUGCAUGAUGAAGGGAUGAUGGGUGAGUUACUAAGGCUGACUUUUUCCUGAGGACAUUGAGUUAGGGAAGUGGCCUCUCCUUGAGGGAAGGAGCCAGAUGGCUUCUCAGAGAACAACCACCACAUUCAAAAUAUUCUCAAGUUUCCUUUGUUUCUUCUUGUCUGCGUCUGAUGUCCAGGACGUUACUCCACAGGAAAAGGUUAAUAUGAGAUCAAGAUCGGCCAGCAUUGUAGCCGUUUUUGGAAUCUCCCACACCAAGUUUUGA
Molecule: long non-coding RNA, 339 nt
Filed under: Papio anubis (olive baboon)
Lineage: Eukaryota; Metazoa; Chordata; Mammalia; Primates; Cercopithecidae
Description: lncRNA (ENSPANG00000042872.1)
Source: RNAcentral